This 81-nucleotide transfer RNA is filed under the name Porticoccaceae bacterium. Its description in RNAcentral is "tRNA-Met". Lineage: Bacteria; Pseudomonadati; Pseudomonadota; Gammaproteobacteria; Cellvibrionales; Porticoccaceae. The record is from RNAcentral.
GGCGGAUCACCGUUUGAAGGCAGCCUAAUCUCAGCAUUCAUAAUGCUGGGGUCGGUGGUUCAAGUCCACCCGUAGCUACCA